This 72-nucleotide transfer RNA is filed under the name Phrynosoma platyrhinos (Desert horned lizard). Its description in RNAcentral is "tRNA-OTHER". Lineage: Eukaryota; Metazoa; Chordata; Lepidosauria; Squamata; Phrynosomatidae. The record is from RNAcentral.
GCCAGUGUGGCAUAGUGUUUUGAGUGUUGGACUAGGACUCUGGAGAGCAGGGUUCGAAUCCCAGCUCAGCCA